GACGAACGCUGGCGGCGCGCUUAACACAUGCAAGUCGAACGGAAAGGCCCUGCUUUUGUGGGGUGCUCGAGUGGCGAACGGGUGAGUAACACGUGAGUAACCUGCCCUUGACUUUGGGAUAACUUCGGGAAACUGGGGCUAAUACCGGAUAGGAGCUCCUGCUGCAUGGUGGGGGUUGGAAAGUUUCGGCGGUUGGGGAUGGACUGGCGGCUUAUCAGCUUGUUGGUGGGGUUGUGGCUUACCAAGGCUUUGACGGGUAGCCGGCCUGAGAGGGUGACCGGCCACAUGGGGACUGAGAUACGGCCCAGACUCGUACGGGAUGCAGCAGUGGGGAAUAUUGUCCAAUGGGCGGAAGCCUGAUGCAGCAACGCCGCGUGCGGGAUGACGGCCUUCGGGUUGUAAACCGCUUUCGCCUGUGACGAAGCGUGAGUGACGGUAAUGGGUAAAGAAGCACCGGCUAACUACGUG
RNAcentral lists this ribosomal RNA (468 nucleotides) under uncultured bacterium. RNAcentral describes it as "partial 16S ribosomal RNA". It matches the Rfam family "Bacterial small subunit ribosomal RNA", at positions 28 to 507 of the family's 1533-position model. The record is from RNAcentral.